This 492-nucleotide ribosomal RNA is filed under the name uncultured bacterium. RNAcentral's name for it is "partial 16S ribosomal RNA". It matches the Rfam family "Bacterial small subunit ribosomal RNA", at positions 29 to 507 of the family's 1533-position model. The record is from RNAcentral.
AGUGAACGCUGGCGGUAGGCCUAACACAUGCAAGUCGAACGGCAGCACAGUAAGAGCUUGCUCUUACGGGUGGCGAGUGGCGGACGGGUGAGGAAUACAUCGGAAUCUACUUUUUCGUGGGGGAUAACGUAGGGAAACUUACGCUAAUACCGCAUACGACCUACGGGUGAAAGCAGGGGAUCUUUGUACCUUGCGCGAUUGAAUGAGCCGAUGUUGGAUUAGCUAGUUGGCGGGGUAAAGGCCCACCAAGGCGACGAUCCGUAGCCGGUCUGAGAGGAUGAUCAGCCACACUGGAACUGAGACACGGUCCAGACUCCUACGGGAGGCAGCAGUGGGGAAUAUUGGACAAUGGGCGCAAGCCUGAUCCAGCCAUACCGCGUGGGUGAAGAAGGCCUUCGGGUUGUAAAGCCCUUUUGUUGGGAAAGAAAAGCAGCAGGUUAAUACCCCGCUGUUCUGACGGUACCCAAAGAAUAAGCACCGGCUAACUUCGUG